CAGCCGUAAACUAUGCUCGCUAGGUGUCAGGCAUGGCGCGACCGUGUCUGGUGCCGCAGGGAAGCCGUGAAGCGAGCCACCUGGGAAGUACGGCCGCAAGGCUGAAACUUAAAGGAAUUGGCGGGGGAGCACAACAACGGGUGGAGCCUGCGGUUUAAUUGGACUCAACGCCGGACGACUCACCGGGGACGACAGCAAUAUGUAGGCCAGGCUGAAGACCUUGCCUGAAUCGCUGAGAGGAGGUGCAUGGCGUAGACGUCU
RNAcentral lists this ribosomal RNA (261 nucleotides) under uncultured archaeon. Its description in RNAcentral is "partial 16S ribosomal RNA". It matches the Rfam family "Archaeal small subunit ribosomal RNA", at positions 748 to 1009 of the family's 1478-position model. The record is from RNAcentral.